GUGCCAGCAGCCGCGGUAAUACGGAGGGUGCAAGCGUUAAUCGGAAUUACUGGGCGUAAAGCGCACGCAGGCGGUUUGUUAAGUCAGAUGUGAAAUCCCCGGGCUCAACCUGGGAACUGCAUCUGAUACUGGCAAGCUUGAGUCUCGUAGAGGGGGGUAGAAUUCCAGGUGUAGCGGUGAAAUGCGUAGAGAUCUGGAGGAAUACCGGUGGCGAAGGCGGCCCCCUGGACGAAGACUGACGCUCAGGUGCGAAAGCGUGGGGAGCAAACAGGAUUAGGUACCCUGGUAGUCCACGCCGUAAACGAUGUCGACUUGGAGGUUGUGCCCUUGAGGCGUGGCUUCCGGAGCUAACGCGUUAAGUCGACCGCCUGGGGAGUACGGCCGCAAGGUUAAAACUCAAAUGAAUUGACGGGGGCCCGCACAAGCGGUGGAGCAUGUGGUUUAAUUCGAUGCAACGCGAAGAACCUUACCUGGUCUUGACAUCCACGGAAGUUUUCAGAGAUGAGAAUGUGCCUUCGGGAACCGUGAGACAGGUACUGCAUGGCUGUCGUCAGCUCGUGUUGUGAAAUGUUGGGUUAAGUCCCGCAACGAGCGCAACCCUUAUCCUUUGUUGCCAGCGGUCCGGCCGGGAACUCAAAGGAGACUGCCAGUGAUAAACUGGAGGAAGGUGGAGAUGACGUCAAGUCAUCAUGGCCCUUACGACCAGGGCUACACACGUGCUACAAUGGCGCAUACAAAGAGAAGCGACCUCGCGAGAGCAAGCGGACCUCAUAAAGUGCGUCGUAGUCCGGAUUGGAGUCUGCAACUCGACUCCAUGAAGUCGGAAUCGCUAGUAAUCGUGGAUCAGAAUGCCACGGUGAAUACGUUCCCGGGCCUUGUACACACCGCCCGU
Molecule: ribosomal RNA, 892 nt
Filed under: uncultured bacterium
Lineage: Bacteria
Description: bacterial SSU rRNA
Rfam family: Bacterial small subunit ribosomal RNA
Source: RNAcentral